GAGGCAGCAGUGGGGAAUUUUGGACAAUGGGGGAAACCCUGAUCCAGCAAUGCCGCGUGUGCGAAGAAGGCCUUCGGGUUGUAAAGCACUUUUGUCAGGGAAGAAAUCCUUUGGGCUAAUACCUUAGGGGGAUGACGGUACCUGAAGAAUAAGCACCGGCUAACUACGUGCCAGCAGCCGCGGUAAUACGUAGGGUGCAAGCGUUAAUCGGAAUUACUGGGCGUAAAGCAUGCGCAGGCGGUUGUGUAAGACAGGUGUGAAAUCCCCGGGCUUAACCUGGGAAUUGCAUUUGUGACUGCACGACUAGAGUGUGUCAGAGGGGGGUGGAAUUCCACGUGUAGCAGUGAAAUGCGUAGAUAUGUGGAGGAACACCAAUGGCGAAGGCAGCCCCCUGGGAUAACACUGACGCUCAUGCACGAAAGCGUGGGGAGCAAACAGGAUUAGAUACCCUGGUAGUCCACGCCCUAAACGAUGUCAACUAGUUGUUGGGGAUUUACUUCCUUGGUAACGUAGCUAACGCGUGAAGUUGACCGCCUGGGGAGUACGGCCGCAAGGUUAAAACUCAAAGGAAUUGACGGGGACCCGCACAAGCGGUGGAUGAUGUGGAUUAAUUCGAUGCAACGCGAAAAACCUUACCUACCCUUGACAUGGCAGGAACUUUCCAGAGAUGGAUUGGUGCUCGAAAGAGAACCUGCACACAGGUGCUGCAUGGCUGUCGUCAGCUCGUGUCGUGAGAUGUUGGGUUAAGUCCCGCAACGAGCGCAACCCUUGUCAUUAGUUGCUACGAAAGGGCACUCUAAUGAGACUGCCGGUGACAAACCGGAGGAAGGUGGGGAUGACGUCAAGUCCUCAUGGCCCUUAUGGGUAGGGCUUCACACGUCAUACAAUGGUCGGUACAGAGGGUUGCCAAGCCGCGAGGUGGAGCCAAUCCCAGAAAACCGAUCGUAGUCCGGAUCGCAGUCUGCAACUCGACUGCGUGAAGUCGGAAUCGCUAGUAAUCGCGGAUCAGAAUGCCGCGGUGAAUACGUUCCCGGGCCUUGUACACACCGCC
This 1051-nucleotide ribosomal RNA is filed under the name uncultured beta proteobacterium. Its description in RNAcentral is "bacterial SSU rRNA". It matches the Rfam family "Bacterial small subunit ribosomal RNA", at positions 345 to 1394 of the family's 1533-position model. Lineage: Bacteria; Pseudomonadati; Pseudomonadota; Betaproteobacteria. The record is from RNAcentral.